UCAUGGAUGCAUACGAGGAGGUAAAAUAUAUAAUUAAGAAGAAAGGCAACACCGCCACAGUGAUAAAGCAAAGAGAAAAAGCGUGGCAAAGUAUUGCAGACCGCCUGAAUGCAUUAAACAUGAACGGGCCAAAACGGACAUGGCAGCAGGUCAAAAUCAAAUACAAGAACAUUCUGCAGAAUGCAGUGAAAAAGAAUACCCACAGACAAGGCACGGGUGGUGGGUCACCAAAGGCUGACCUUACCCCAGCAGAGGACAUGGCCUUGGAGCUAAAUAAAGGCAGGCCCGUCUUAGAGGGGAUCCCUGGGGGGGAAAGAGACGAGCAUAGGUUCCUCCCAAGAUGCCACCCGCUUCAUUCAAGUGCCUGGCAGCACUGUGUUCCUGUUAGAGCCACCAGCACAAGCACCAGACGAUGCUGAUCCAGUGAGUACUCCAUCAAAGGCAUACUGUAGGCCUGGCAUGUCUUGUCUACUAGCUUCAAUAUGAAUCCGAUUAAAUGUGAUCGGGUGAAAGCCCCAGUGCAGCAGCAACAGCACAUGAUGGAGACGAUGAUGAGGAGGAGACCAUCUCUCUGGAUUCCAGAAGGCAUGAGGACCCAGAUGCUAUACAGUGGGAAAGCCAGCCUGGCAACAUA
Long non-coding RNA from Carassius carassius (crucian carp), 634 nucleotides. RefSeq lists it as uncharacterized. Lineage: Eukaryota; Metazoa; Chordata; Actinopteri; Cypriniformes; Cyprinidae. The transcript has 5 exons. The record is from RefSeq and is a predicted model, not a curated record.